GAUGAACGCUAGCUACAGGCUUAACACAUGCAAGUCGAGGGGCAGCAUGACCUAGCAAGUAGGUUGAUGGCGACCGGCGCACGGGUGAGUAACACGUAUCCAACCUACCGGUUAUUCCGGGAUAGCCUUUCGAAAGAAAGAUUAAUACCGGAUAGUAUAACGAGAAGGCAUCUUUUUGUUAUUAAAGAAUUUCGAUAACCGAUGGGGAUGCGUUCCAUUAGUUUGUUGCGGGGUAACGGCCCACCAAGACAUCGAUGGAUAGGGGUUCUGAGAGGAAGGUCCCCCACAUUGGAACUGAGACACGGUCCAAACUCCUACGGGAGGCAGCAGUGAGGAAUAUUGGUCAAUGGACGAGAGUCUGAACCAGCCAAGUAGCGUGAAGGAUGACUGCCCUAUGGGUUGUAAACUUCUUUUAUAUGGGAAUAAAGUGAGCCACGUGUGGCUUUUUGUAUGUACCAUACGAAUAAGGAUCGGCUAACUCCGUG
This 485-nucleotide ribosomal RNA is filed under the name uncultured bacterium. Its description in RNAcentral is "bacterial SSU rRNA". It matches the Rfam family "Bacterial small subunit ribosomal RNA", at positions 28 to 507 of the family's 1533-position model. The record is from RNAcentral.